CAAAGGUUUGGUCCUGACUUUACUAUCAACUUUAGCCAAAUUUACACAUGCAAGUAUCCGCACCCCUGUGAGAAUGCCCCACAGUCCCCCGCCCGGGAACAAGGAGCUGGUAUCAGGCACACCCACUUAGUGUAGCCCAAGACACCUUGCUUAGCCACACCCUCAAGGGAAUUCAGCAGUGAUAAACAUUAAGCCAUGAGUGAAAACUUGACUUAGUUAAAGCUAAGAGGGCCGGUAAAACUCGUGCCAGCCACCGCGGUUAUACGAGAGGCCCAAGUUGUUAGUUAUCGGCGUAAAGCGUGGUUAAAAUCAACUUAUACUAAAGCCGAACACUUCCAAAGCUGUUAUACGCAUCCGAAAGUAAGAAGAUCAAUUACGAAAGUAGCUUUAUCCAUUUGAACCCACGAAAGCUACGGCACAAACUGGGAUUAGAUACCCCACUAUGCCUAGCCGUAAACAUUGACAGUAAAUUACAUCCACUGUCCGCCCGGGUACUACGAGCAUCAGCUUAAAACCCAAAGGACUUGGCGGUGCUUUAGAUCCACCUAGAGGAGCCUGUUCUAGAACCGAUAACCCCCGUUCAACCUCACCCUUCCUUGUUUCUCCCGCCUAUAUACCACCGUCGUCAGCUUACCCUGUGAAGGCCCCAUAGUAAGCAAGAUUGGCACAGCCCAAAACGUCAGGUCGAGGUGUAGCGUAUGGAAGGGGAAGAAAUGGGCUACAUUCACUCACCCAGUGAAAUACGAACGAUGUACUGAAAUAUACAUCUGAAGGAGGAUUUAGCA
This 785-nucleotide ribosomal RNA is filed under the name Lactophrys bicaudalis (spotted trunkfish). Its description in RNAcentral is "partial 12S ribosomal RNA". It matches the Rfam family "Bacterial small subunit ribosomal RNA", at positions 7 to 1337 of the family's 1533-position model. The record is from RNAcentral. Lineage: Eukaryota; Metazoa; Chordata; Actinopteri; Tetraodontiformes; Ostraciidae.